GGUCUGAUACUUCCUAUUAAAUGAAAAGAUGGAAUGCUUCUGCUUCUUUAGUUUAGUUCCAAAGAUAAAUGAUCUUAAUGGAAUUUUUGAUCGACUAGCUGUAUGGGUUAAUUGUGGUUGAUUAUUCACAGUAAGCUCAAACUCUUCGUCCAACAUCCUAAGGGUCUUAUCAAUUUCCGUUUGCAGUUUACUUACAUGAUCCGCGCCUGCUUGCAACUCCGCGCUUACCAUGUUGUUUUCUUGUUUCAUGUUCAAAAUCUCCCCUUGGAAUUUGGCAGCUUGAUGGCUGGAGAAUCUAAUUUCUUCGUCUUCGACACCUUCCUUUAAAGCAGUUGUGAUCCUCUCCUGGAUGCUGCAUAAUGAUGAAAAUCUCCGUUCAAGUUCAGCCUUAAGCACUACACUUCGCUCUAACCACACGGUUAAUUCUGCCCGGAUUUCUUUC
This 442-nucleotide long non-coding RNA is filed under the name Coffea arabica (coffee). RNAcentral describes it as "long non-coding RNA (CARA_LNC005244)". The record is from RNAcentral. Lineage: Eukaryota; Viridiplantae; Streptophyta; Magnoliopsida; Gentianales; Rubiaceae.